AUGUACCAGAACAUUAAUGAAGCAUCAUGGGGCGAGCAACAACUCAUCAGUGAGAUAAGAACAUUCUUUGAAAACAAGAGGUACUUGAUAGUUAUUGAUGACAUAUGGGAUAAAUCCGUCUCGGAAAAUAUCAAGUAUGCAUUUAUUGAGAAUGGAUACGGAAGUAGAGUAAUCACAACAACUCGGGUUCUUGAUGUUUCCCUGCAAGCUGGUGGUGUAUAUCAGCUGAAACCUCUUUCUGUUGUCGACUCAAGAAAGUUGUUCUAUCAAAUAAUAUAUGAGAUGGAGAACAAGUCACAACCUAAUCAAUUGGUUGAAGUAUCUGAGAGAAUUUUAAAAAGAUGUGGGGUAGUUCCGCUAGCUAUCCUUGCGAUAGGUAGCUUGCUGUCUAGUGAAAAGGGAAGAGCACAUACACAUGAGUAUUGGUCCAAGUGUACAAAUCCAUCAGUUCGGGGCUAG
Molecule: ribosomal RNA, 459 nt
Filed under: Triticum aestivum (bread wheat)
Lineage: Eukaryota; Viridiplantae; Streptophyta; Magnoliopsida; Poales; Poaceae
Description: partial small subunit ribosomal RNA
Source: RNAcentral